GUCUACAGCCAUGCCACCUUGAACAAGCCCGAUCCCGUCUGAUCUCGGAAGUUAAGCAGGAUCGGGCCUGGUUAGUACUUGGAUGCGAGACCACCUAGGAAGACCAGGUGCUGUAGCGU
Molecule: ribosomal RNA, 119 nt
Filed under: Pteropus alecto (black flying fox)
Lineage: Eukaryota; Metazoa; Chordata; Mammalia; Chiroptera; Pteropodidae
Source: RNAcentral